Molecule: unclassified non-coding RNA, 253 nt
Filed under: uncultured Sordariomycetes
Lineage: Eukaryota; Fungi; Ascomycota; Sordariomycetes
Description: sequence contains ITS2
Rfam family: 5.8S ribosomal RNA (bases 1-52)
Source: RNAcentral
AACGCACAUUGCGCCCGCCAGUACUCUGGCGGGCAUGCCUGUUCGAGCGUCAUUUCAACCCUCAAGCCCCCGGCUUGGUGUUGGGGCCCUGCGGCUGCCGCAGGCCCCGAAAUGGAGUGGCGGGCUCGCGGCGAACUCCGAGCGUAGUAGAAUCCUAUCUCGCUAGGGAGGCGCGGCGCGGUCCGGCCGUUAAAGGAACUUUUUUUAACCCAAGGUUGACCUCGGAUCAGGUAGGAAUACCCGCUGAACUUAA